GUCCACGCCGUAAACGAUGAUAACUAGCUGUCCGGGUUCAUGGAAUUCGGGUGGCGCAGCUAACGCAUUAAGUUAUCCGCCUGGGGAGUACGGUCGCAAGAUUAAAACUCAAAGGAAUUGACGGGGGGCCUGCACAAGCGGUGGAGCAUGUGGUUUAAUUCGAAGCAACGCGCAGAACCUUACCAGCGUUUGACAUCCUCAUCGCGGUUUCCAGAGAUGGAUUCCUUCAGUUCGGCUGGAUGAGUGACAGGUGCUGCAUGGCUGUCGU
Molecule: ribosomal RNA, 268 nt
Filed under: uncultured bacterium
Lineage: Bacteria
Description: partial 16S ribosomal RNA
Rfam family: Bacterial small subunit ribosomal RNA
Source: RNAcentral